This 440-nucleotide ribosomal RNA is filed under the name uncultured bacterium. RNAcentral's name for it is "partial 16S ribosomal RNA". It matches the Rfam family "Bacterial small subunit ribosomal RNA", at positions 338 to 795 of the family's 1533-position model. The record is from RNAcentral.
CCUACGGGUGGCAGCAGUAGGGAAUAUUGCUCAAUGGCCGAAAGCCUGAACCAGCAACGCCGCGUGGAGGAUGACGGCCUUAGGAUUGUAAACCCCCUUUGUUAGAGGAGAUUAUGACGGUAUCUAACGCAUAAGCACCGUCCACAUCCGUGCCAGCAGCCCUGGUGAUAAGGUAGGUGCCAGCGUUACUCGGAAUCACUGGGCGUAAAGAGUGCGUAGGCGGGGUAAUAAGUCAGAUGUGAAAUGCUGUAGCUUAACUAUAGAACUGCAUUUGAAACGGUUACUCUGGAGUGUGGGAGAGGUAGGUGGAAUUCGUGGUGUAGGGGUAAAAUCCGUAGAGAUCAAGAAGAAUACUCAUUGCGAAGGCGACCUACUGGAACAUUACUGACGCUGAUGCACGAAAGCGUGGGGAGCGAACAGGAUUAGAUACCCGAGUAGUC